UCUAAAUAAUUGUUUUCUUCCUUGUUUAUGACAAAGCGAAUUAAUUUAAUCAAAUAAAUACUAAAAUAAACAGAUAAUAAGAAGAAUAAGAAGAGGAGGAAUAGGCGUUACGCAAUGAUGAGAUUAAGUGCUUGCGGGCUGGUGAAAUUGCCGACACAAGAGUGAGUGACGUUUGUCGUCUUGUGAGUAUACUCACCGUUGUUUCUCUUUCGCUCGAUGCAAAUCUCCUCCGGGACGUCCCUAAUCAACCAGAUCCAGCUAUACAACCUAAUCAAGCCUGCUGCGUCAAACCUUCAUUGAAUGGGAAUUCAAAUUCGAUGACAUCUAACUGCCUAAACCUAAGGCGAAUACGUGAACAGAGACUUUUCUCUGCUGCUGUAGCUGCUAGGAUACUAAAAUUGUCUGCUUUAGCUAACCAGGGGCUUGCUAAGGGUAUUCAUACAUGAAUACCCUUAUCAAUCCCCUUACUGGUGUCGUUGAUUUUGGCUGGAAUUUGGUGGUGGAGGACUGAAUUUUGAGGAGGAUUGUGUGGAAGAGAUGGAACUGUUGUGGUAAUUUGAUGGUUAAAACGACGCCGUUAUAUUUGUCACGACCGGCUGUGGAAGGGAGCCUUUUGCGUUGAUUAUUUUUGGUGACCGGCUUCAACCACUUGAAUAAGUUUUAAUUUAUCACUGUUAUGUUCACUUAGCAUGAGUUUAUUGGUCAACUAAUCAUUUCACUGAUUGUAUGUUGCGAUAAAUGUAAUUUAGAGGAAUCCUUGUGUUUGUGGGUGUGAAUAUGUCUUAGUCCAGGUCUGACAAAAUAGAGGGCCAAAUCAGAGAUUUUAUCAUCUUUUGUCUUUAGAUAUCUGUCAGGCUGCCACAGUACAAGUGUAGGUUCUCUUUUGUCUUUUUCUUGCUUUUACUCUCUCCUUGGUUUUAUGAAAAUGUGGCCGUGAGGAAUGUUGCCAUCCCAUAAAUCCCCUAAGAGCUCAACUAGCAGCCCUCUCUUAUGGUUAGCUGAGAGCUCAAAUCUUCUUCCAUUGCAAAAGUAUGAAGUUUUCUUUUGACAUUCAGUUUCCAGAAAUGAAUUGUCCUGUUGAUGUGAGAUUCUUGUUUCCACCAUUGCUAAAUCUUGUAGUCUUCUUUUUCUUCCUGAGAUCUCAAGAUAGUCAGUCUUGGUCCCUCCAGGAUGGAGCCAACCACAUACUUUUGUACCCAAUUUUAAAGCUUCAAUUCCCCUUCAUGAGUCUUGCCGUCCUGAUAUUACUGCUCUUUCUCCUCACAGCUAUCAGGGUUCCUCUCAGAGUGAGCAGCCCCAUGUCCGUGAGUUGUGGAGAUCAUCUCCCUUGUCUGUUGGCAAUAUCAACAAUCGCGUCUCUCAUUUUGGCUCCAUCUCUUUUCUUGGUGGUUUAUCUGUGUUUCAUGAUCCUAUCUCUCUUUUAUGUAAUGUCAACUUCCUUGUUUAAGCGCUUCUGCAAAGGAUACACUGUUGUUCCUGAAUCUGAUGGUCAAGUUGAAGUUGGACAUGAAGCUGAAGCUGAAGUUGAAGUUAAAGUAGAAGGUGGGCGCAUCCAAGACCUGCUGCCAAGUCCAUCUGGGGAUAUGGUGUAAUUGUGGUGACUUCAGCUUCCAUGCAACUACUACUACCUAUAGCUGGCUACAGGUGCCACAGUAAUAAUAUAUGCUUCUGUUUUAAUUUUUUUUUUUUUUUAAGAAAAAGAUAAAAAUCAGAUCAGUUGUGUUAGUUAUGCAUACGAUUCCGUAUAGACGACGCAGACAACGAA
This 1765-nucleotide long non-coding RNA is filed under the name Citrus sinensis (sweet orange). RNAcentral describes it as "long non-coding RNA (CSIN_LNC003845)". Lineage: Eukaryota; Viridiplantae; Streptophyta; Magnoliopsida; Sapindales; Rutaceae. The record is from RNAcentral.